UUUGGUCUCUGCCGGUCUCUGCCGAGCUCUGCCGAGCGGUGGAGGCUGUGUGUUGUGUUUCAAUCGGCCAAACGGGACGAGACCAGUCGUCCAAUUGCUGACAAGAAAAUCAAAGGGUAGGAAUGGGAAUGUAUCCAAUCAGCGUCGACGUUGUUUCAGAAGCAUGACGGGCGAUAGAGCUACCGCCAAAGGCUUUCGUUAGUGCUCGGUAGAACUCGGAGAUCUACUCCAACACGUUUUUGGUCGUGACUCGUGACGGUCGUGACGCAUACGGAAUAAACAUGGAAGCCAGUGCGCCUACAACCAGCAGCAGCAUGGAUACCGGAUCUCAGCAGCCACUGAAUUCAGUUCGGUCUCUUCUCCAGUUCGAGAGGAGAACUAUGGUGGAAAAACUUAAUAUCAAAGAGCUUGGACCAGAUCAGCCCGACGUAAAGAUAAGCCAGCAGGAGGAGGAGAGAGGUAAACUGUACACACGAGGCUUCGGGAAGGCUUGGCUAGCUGGAUGCAAUCACGCUAAUGCGUUAUUUUGCUUUCCAAACGACUGUGACAGAUGAGGCAUGGAUUGAGUCAGGAGUUACGAACAUGAAACAUUUUUCUGAGAAGGUGAAGAAACAUGAGUUAUCCCGGGCGCACAUGGACAACACGGUGAAGCUAGCUAUGCUAGGCAGAGCUAACAUAGCCAUGCAGCUCGAGACGAGGGACGCAGGCUUGCAGUGAAUAAACACAAUGAAGAAGUGGAUCAGAACCGGCACAUUUUGUCCAAGAGAGAGAUGUCAACACAGUGUAUGAGCACAAGGAUGACCUCCUCAGAUUUUUCCAGAUGAUCAGACUCGGAUGACUUUGAUCCAGUCACUGAGAGAGAGGCAGGAGGAUUUGUGAGAAUGCUGGAGGAAGAAGAUUUCGGCUUUCUGCUGGCAUUGUGUCACAAGAUCAUGCCACAUGUGGACAUGCUGUUCAACCAGCUGCAGAAGAGGAACAUUGAGUCUGUCUCCAUCACAGGGGUCAUCCAGAGCUUCACCAACAGCAUGCAAAAGAUCAGAUGCAUUUUUCACGGAGGCUUUUUAUUGUUUUAUGUUAGAUUCGUUUUUGUAAAUAAUGAAAGAAAUCAGGAAAUCUUCUAGAAAUAGGAAAUGUUCCUCAAGAUCUGUUGAUGAGGAGCAAGAUGUGCCCUCAUCGUUUUUCCGUCACAAACGCAGAAAACAAAACCUCCAUAUACAUCUGUGGUUGAGGAUUCAGGUGCGAGUGAAGAUGAUUUCCCAUCACAGCUGCAAGAUUCUUCUGAUGAGCCAUUCACCAGCAAUGGGCAGUGUCAGAGGAAGGAUCUUGCUGGAGAUGCUCCACAUCUACUGGACUCCUGGACAACAAAGUGAAACCCAGGUACUGUCAACCCACGCCACCCAGAUUUAUCCCCAGAAGAACUCCUGGCUAUCAGCUUCCCGUCAUGGGUAAACCAGGUACACGCAGUGCAAAAAAGCACUCCCUGGAUGUGCUAAGAAUGCAAGAAAGUAUUUUGUCUGCAGCAGGACAGGAAUUGCUCUGCAGAAGACCACAGCAGCUAAAAACACCUGAACAUUGACAGACAAUAUCACCUGAAAGUCAGACACUGAAAGUUGAAAAUUUAAAAAAAUCAAUACAAGGUUGUAAUCCAUGUUAGGUUUGAUUUCUGCCAUUUCAGCUGUUAAACUGUUCAUCUGCCCCGUUUUCAGCCUCUGACCCAAGCAUCUGUACUGUCUUGUGGUUCUGUGUACAGUGAGUUUGCAGCGCUGCAGUGCUCUUGUUCAGGCUUGGUGUAGAGGCCUUUUACACCUGUUGAUUUACUGUGAUCUUGUCAUGGCUCUGCUUUUCCUCUGCUGCUGUGUUCUUAACCCCUUCUUUCCACAGGAGCCGUCAGCAGCACGUUACUGCAGCAGCACGUCAUAGCUGCUGAUAUGAACCGCUGUGGUCAACAGAACCUUUUCCACCGGAGCCUUCAGCAGCCGUCAGCAGCGCGAGUCGGCCGCGUCUCAGGAGCAGCAUGUCGUGGCCUUUACGCGCCGGUUCUAUUUUCUACUCGCGACGCCUCUGAAACGGGUCAAGUUCGACAUUUUUGGGGAAGGAAAGACAGGAAAUCGGACGCGGAAACGUAGCGAAGCUCCCGAGAUUUUCAGAAUAAAGAAACGUACUGCCUUCGGUUGCUCUACUUUAAAAAAGGUUACUAACUGUGCGUCCCCGUGAGAAGUUAUCACCUAGCUAGCGGUCUCCUUUGUUUUUCAGGUCCGUAUUGGCGAUUAUAAAAUGGACAGAACAUAAAGCACAAACCUUUUGGAGCCAUGUUGUAGUUUUCUCCUGCUUGUUGUUGUGUUUACUGACGAAGUCACUCGUGUGACUUCGUGCUCUGUCGGUGACAGCUGCUCCCCUGCUGCUUCACGUCUCGUGGGAAGGGCCAAGCAGCAGCUUGACGUGCUGCUGCAGUAAGGUGCUGCUGACGGCUCCAGUGGAAAGAAGGGGUAAAUGUUUGCAGGUGAGCAGGUUGGAGAGCCACAGCUGCAGCUGAUGACCAUCAGCCAGGCCAGAGGAUAUAAGGAGCAGUGUUGCCACACGUCAGCGCCGGUUGAUACUCUAUUGUUGGGUACUCUAGCUCUCCUCGUUCCUGUUUAAAUCUAGCCUCGUGUUUUUUCUCCCCCGUGCUCAGUUUUAUUCUCCUUGUCUGCUCCAGUACCAGCCCUGGAUUCUUACCUCAGCUUCCUGCUGUCUGAAGUGGAUUUUUCACCCAACGCCGCUCAACUCCUCUGGUGUCCCGCUCUCCACCUCUCACCUGUCCUGGAUUACUUCACUGCCUGCUACUCCUCUCCACCAGACCAUCUCCAGCUCAGACCUGACUUGCCUCCCUCUCCUGCUCAAAACCCCACUUCACACAGUAAGACUAUGCCACCAUUACUCCAGUGUUUGCCUGGUUGUCAGUAUUCAUUUUGUUAUCUUCUAUUUUAGAAUUGGAAUACUCCCCCUGGCCCAGUUUGGAUCAGCGCUUUUUGUUAUUAUUUUUAUUUAUAAUAAAACAUGUAUUAUUUUACUCAGCUCUCUCUCCGUGUGUGAUUCUUUCAUGUGGGUUAAAAGACUGCAGCCCUACAUGACAAAUCUGGAUGAGCUUGUUGUGUCCUUACUGUUCCCUGUGUGUAGCCUAGUUUGUAACUGAAUAAAUGUUGUGAUUUCUGGUAGUGAUUGAGUCCUUGUUGUUUGAGAUAUUCUCAGGUACCAACACAAACCUGGGUUUAAUCGUGAUGGUUAUUACCAUAAGUGAGGCUCGUAAUUCCAUAGACAUAGGAUGGUUAAAUGGUUAAAAAUGUUAGAAAGACAAAUGUUAAUUUUACAACACUGUUAUUUGACAUCAAUGAUGUAUUGUGAUGUAAUUACAGUUGACAUUUUGUGUAAUAUACAGAAAUUGAACAGAAACAUGAAAAUCAAAUCAUAUUCAGUAGGUGUAACAUGGCUACAAUCUUCAUUAAAUAAUAGCUAACAGAAGUUAUUUGACAAAUGUUUGUUUUCAAAAGGGUUAUGUAAUGCAAAUGUUCCUUAUUUUCUUGUUGUCAUUGGGGUCUUCAUUAUUACAUGUAGCAAAGAUUAUGUAUUUCAGUGUGGAGAAAGCAAAGUUGUGGGCAGGUGAGAAGAUCCAUAUGGAAUCAGGAAGUGUACAUGAGCAACAGUCUAUAAGAGAAUGGUGAUGAUGCAUUUAGGAAACAGCUUACAGUGUUUAUUUGGAGUGUGGACAGGACAUGCACUGAAGACCAGAUGAUUUAAGUAAGGGAGGCCAUCCAUGGAGCCAGGGAACAGAUUCAAACGUGGUUCUGGAGGAGAGGAUGGUAGCUAUCAAGGCAUCAUGAGUUGCUGGAGUUUUGCAAUCCUACGGAAUGAACAAAGGCAGAUGAAGAAGGGGUAAAGUUUCAAAAAGAUAAACUGACUGGAUGUUACCACUUAGGAAUACAAUCUGGUGGUGAGGAGCUGUUGACCUGAUUCCUUUAUUCCUCCUAUCUGAUAGGUGGGCCAGCCCCCUGUGUGGAGUUACCAUCCAACAGCCUACAGGACAAAAUGAAAAGUUCACACGGGUUACAGACUACAUUUUGACAUGUGUGUUAUUCUUCUGGUAUUAUUUAAUGUGUAUAUAUUACUGAUAUUAGUACAUUUUUCAUUUUAAAGGUAAUGUCAUAUGCAAGGAUCAACUCCUUUAUAUGGAUGUACGUUAAAAACGGUACAAAUAAACUCUAAUGCAAGAUAUGAGAGUACUGUAGAAUGUUGUAAAAGCUGAAUGUCAGGCUCUAUCAUGGAGAAUGAAAUGACUAUAUAUUAAGCGUUCUUGCAAGAAAAGGCAAAGUACAGUAGACUGAUAUCCUAGUAUAAAAUUACUCACAUAAAAUAACUGUCACACAUUUUAGCAUGUGCAAAUGGGGUAGGAACCUGCAGCGUGCUGAUAUGAUCAUUUUUGCAGCUGAUUCCUUUUUCUAGUAAAAAAUCACGUGUAAAACAUACACAGCAUUGUAAUUUAAAGAAAUGGGGAAAAAAUCACAUGUAUGUUUAAUGCUCAGUUAAUCAUUACAGUGUUUUAAUUGAAACAUGAUGUCAAAGUAUUAUUAAGAGGUAUUAAUUACAUAAUUAUUAGUGUAACUGGAUUUUACAUACCACCCACCUUUCAUUCAAUACGU
Non-coding RNA from Nothobranchius furzeri (turquoise killifish), 4673 nucleotides. NCBI's taxonomy places the organism in Eukaryota, Metazoa, Chordata, Actinopteri, Cyprinodontiformes, Nothobranchiidae. The record is from RefSeq and is a predicted model, not a curated record.